CUUUACCAUUUCAGGCUGAUCCAAACUCAUAAUAUGAAUAGAUGGACAUUGACCAAAGAGACCAGCAGCAGAACAAAAGCAUAAACAAACAUGAGAGUAGGCUAAUUUUACCAACCUGAGGUCAAAAAGUUCUCAUGAGAUCUGGUCGUUUGAAAGCAUGUACCACUUCCCUCUUCGCUCACUCUCUCCCUCCCGCUCCACCAUGUGAAGAUUGUGCCUGCUUCUCCUUCACCUUCUGCCAUGAUUGUAAAUUUCCUGAGGCCUCCCCAGCCAUGCCUCCUGUACAGAGACUGUGGAACUGUGAGUCAAUUAAACCUCUUUUCUUUAUGAA
Long non-coding RNA from Homo sapiens (human), 331 nucleotides. Ensembl annotates it as PFN2 antisense RNA 1. Its record names the gene PFN2-AS1. NCBI's taxonomy places the organism in Eukaryota, Metazoa, Chordata, Mammalia, Primates, Hominidae. The record is from Ensembl.